Molecule: ribosomal RNA, 586 nt
Filed under: uncultured Gammaproteobacteria bacterium
Lineage: Bacteria; Pseudomonadati; Pseudomonadota; Gammaproteobacteria
Description: SSU rRNA
Rfam family: Bacterial small subunit ribosomal RNA
Source: RNAcentral
CAGCUAGUUGGUAGGGUAACGGCCUACCAAGGCGACGAUCCGUAGCUGGUCUGAGAGGACGAUCAGCCACACUGGGACUGAGACACGGCCCAGACUCCUACGGGAGGCAGCAGUGGGGAAUAUUGGACAAUGGGGGCAACCCUGAUCCAGCAAUGCCGCGUGUGUGAAGAAGGCCUGCGGGUUGUAAAGCACUUUCAGUAGGGAAGAAAAGCCCGGGGCGAAUAUCCCCGGGUCUUGACGUUACCUAAAGAAGAAGCACCGGCUAACUCCGUGCCAGCAGCCGCGGUAAUACGGAGGGUGCGAGCGUUAAUCGGAAUUACUGGGCGUAAAGCGCACGUAGGCGGUUGGGUAAGUCGGAUGUGAAAGCCCUGGGCUUAACCUGGGAACUGCAUUCGAUACUGCCCGGCUAGAGUAUGGGAGAGGGAAGCGGAAUUUCCGGUGUAGCGGUGAAAUGCGUAGAUAUCGGAAGGAACACCAAUGGCGAAGGCAGCUUCCUGGCCCAAUACUGACGCUCAGGUGCGAAAGCGUGGGGAUCAAACAGGAUUAGAUACCCUGGUAGUCCACGCUGUAAACGAUGAGAACUAGA